UUUUGCCUCACCUCUGCGCUCUUGGGUGAGAUUUAGGGAGAACAGGAAGGAGAGGGAUGAUGAGGUUCCGAUUUUGUUAGAUCAAAAAGGUAUUAGGGUGAUUAGCGUGAUCUUCUCUGUUUCUUUCUGUGUUCAUUCUUGGCUGGCGUUUUCGGAUCUAGAGAUUCUUCAGUGUGUGAUUGAUUUGGGGUAGGAGAGGCAGAGUGUUUGUGGAGGAAAUGGAAGAAGAAUUGACAGCGAAAGAUUAACGACAACAGAGCCUUCUGUUACAGCCAAUGGGCGGUGCUUCAAGCUUAUAUCCUCAAAGGGUCUAUUAGCAGAAUACCAGAAGAGUUCAGGGACGAGAA
Molecule: long non-coding RNA, 347 nt
Organism: Rosa chinensis
Lineage: Eukaryota; Viridiplantae; Streptophyta; Magnoliopsida; Rosales; Rosaceae
Exons: 5
Source: RefSeq, a predicted model, not a curated record